CUACGGGCGGCUGCAGUGGGGAAUAUUGGACAAUGGGCGAAAGCCUGAUCCAGCCAUGCCGCGUGUGUGAAGAAGGCCUUCGGGUUGUAAAGCACUUUCAGUGGGGAAGAAAGCCUUGGGGCUAAUACCCUCGAGGAAGGACAUCACCCACAGAAGAAGCACCGGCUAACUCCGUGCCAGCAGCCGCGGUAAUACGGAGGGUGCGAGCGUUAAUCGGAAUUACUGGGCGUAAAGCGCGCGUAGGCGGUCUGAUAAGCCGGUUGUGAAAGCCCCGGGCUCAACCUGGGAACGGCAUCCGGAACUGUCAGGCUAGAGUGCAGGAGAGGAAGGUAGAAUUCCCGGUGUAGCGGUGAAAUGCGUAGAGAUCGGGAGGAAUACCAGUGGCGAAGGCGGCCUUCUGGACUGACACUGACGCUGAGGUGCGAAAGCGUGGGUAGCAAACAGGAUUAGAUACCCUUGUAGUC
Molecule: ribosomal RNA, 464 nt
Filed under: Vreelandella stevensii
Lineage: Bacteria; Pseudomonadati; Pseudomonadota; Gammaproteobacteria; Oceanospirillales; Halomonadaceae
Description: partial 16S ribosomal RNA
Rfam family: Bacterial small subunit ribosomal RNA
Source: RNAcentral